RNAcentral lists this ribosomal RNA (120 nucleotides) under Pteropus alecto (black flying fox). The record is from RNAcentral. Lineage: Eukaryota; Metazoa; Chordata; Mammalia; Chiroptera; Pteropodidae.
GUCUAUGGCCAUACUACCCUGAACAAGUCCAAUCCUGUCUGAUCUCAUGAAGCUAAGCAGGGUCAGGCCUGGUUAGUACUUGGACGGGAGACCACCUAGGAAGACCAGGUGCUGUAAGCG